RNAcentral lists this long non-coding RNA (1103 nucleotides) under Coturnix japonica (Japanese quail). RNAcentral describes it as "lncRNA (ENSCJPG00005002837.1)". Lineage: Eukaryota; Metazoa; Chordata; Aves; Galliformes; Phasianidae. The record is from RNAcentral.
GUCAUGUUUUUUUGCAGGUUACAUUUCACAGGUAUUAAAAAAUUACACUGAUCAUGCCUGUGAUGGAGAAUAUGUUUCCCUGAGGUGCCCCCACAGAACUACCAUCAGCAUCCAGUCUUCUUUCUAUGGCAGAAUUGUACCAAGUCAUCAGAUGUGUCCUUCUCGCUCUCCCCGCUCCUUUGCAACCUUAAUUAAGGAAGAUGUUGCCUGUUCAGUUGGCACUUCCCUUCAGAAGAUGCUGGAUGAGUGUCAGGACAGACGGAGCUGCCGGUUCCUUGUUCACAGCCGGCUGUUUGGUGUGGAUCCGUGCCCUGAAACAGCCAAAUACCUCCUCGUGUGGUACAAGUGCAGGCCAACCUGCGGUGAAGAUUGUUUUUGCAGGUGCCAGUGGAAGCCUUUGCCAAGACUUAGCUCGUGCUGCCCUGCAGUGCUGUUGGCAGUGAGGGGGCUGCUGCAGCUCCUAUCUGGUUCCAGACCCUGUCACUGCUGCCCAGACAAGCAGUGUAGAUGCUUCAUCCCUGGAGGUGCCCAAUGCCAUGGAAUGGGCUCUGGACAGCCUGAUCUGCUGAGGGGCAGCCAGCUCACAGCAGGAGUUGGACUGGGUGGACGUGGAUGUCCCUUCCAACACAAACCAUGCUGUGAUUCUACAGUCUUCAGUCCCCAUCCUGUCCCACUAAGCGAGUGGGACUCAUUCCCUCUAUUUCUACCCACAGCAGCAUGGUGAGAGCCUGAGUGGGUGAACAUUUUGGAUUCAGGUGCCUAAACUGAGCAGUUAGGGCCGUAAGUCAGUGGCACGCUCACCACCCCAUAUCAUAAUCUAGCUUUUAAUUGCUUCCAGAUCAGGCUGGAAAAUAUUAACCUGUGCUUUGCAUGAUCUCAUUAGCUGUGUUUAAAUUAAAUGGGGUCAGUGCAUGGGUACUGGGAGAGCAGUCAUGCCUGCUGCAGUGUUGUGAGGUCAGUGUGGUUUUAGACUGGGGCAGCUGACACCCUCUUGGCCAAUUCCUGGCCCUGCCAGGGCAGUCAGCAAGGUGAGGACACUGGUCCCCUCUGGUGCUCUGGAAGCAGACACAUCAUCCUGGGCACAGAUAGGGUCCAGCAGUGAC